UAGUAUGGGGAUCUGCCCGAUAGAGGGGGAUAACUACUGGAAACGGUGGCUAAUACCGCAUAAUGUCUGCGGACCAAAGCAGGGGCUCUUCGGACCUUGCACUAUCGGAUGAACCCAUAUGGGAUUAGCUAGUAGGUGGGGUAAAGGCUCACCUAGGCGACGAUCUCUAGCUGGUCUGAGAGGAUGAUCAGCCACACUGGGACUGAGACACGGCCCAG
Molecule: ribosomal RNA, 218 nt
Filed under: uncultured bacterium
Lineage: Bacteria
Description: partial 16S ribosomal RNA
Rfam family: Bacterial small subunit ribosomal RNA
Source: RNAcentral